GAACCAUGCAAACCAUAUUGAAGGAUGUAUGGUUCAUAGUUUCUUAAGGCGUAAUACAUAAACAAACACUUGAGCACACCUAGACACCUCAACUUGUCUUCACUGUGUUAGUUGAACAAUCCAACUUACAAAAUGAUCAUCUAGACACUUACAAAAUUUAUUAGACACUUCCAAAAUUUAUGUGACACGUCAUCAUAGCGUGUCCACGAGACACAGUGGGGACGAGUUGGAAUGUUUAGUUGCCAUUUGAGACCAAGUUGAGGUGUCUAGAUGUGCACUCUCAAAGUUGAAGUGCUUACCUGCCAGCAGGGGCCAAAUUUGACUGUCCGUUUAUACAUUAUACUGUUUCUUUAUGAUUUUAAAUAUGUAGUUUAUGAGCCCGGUAUUUAAGUGGAGAAGGGUAGAGGGGCGGGGCCCAUUAUCCAUCGAGUUUAGAAGGCUGUGAUUGGUCCAAAAGGGCGGGUCACAGAUGGAUUUCUCGGUUAUCAAAAAUAAAAUAAAAUAUGUAGUUAUGAGCCCGGUAUUUUAAGUGGAGAAGGGUAGAGGGGCGGGCCCAUUAUCCAUCGAGUUUAGAAGGCUGUGAUUUGGUCCAAAGGGCGGGUCACAGAUGGAUUUCUCGGUUAUCAAAAUAAAAUAAAAUAUGUAGUUUAUGAAGUGAGAUAUUCUCAUUCUAGAUAUUCUUCACAUCCCAAAUCUUUCAGAAAAG
Molecule: long non-coding RNA, 706 nt
Filed under: Solanum tuberosum (potato)
Lineage: Eukaryota; Viridiplantae; Streptophyta; Magnoliopsida; Solanales; Solanaceae
Description: long non-coding RNA (STUB_LNC006940)
Source: RNAcentral